AACGUAGGACGCAAGCGUUAUCCGGAGUUACUGGGCGUAAAGCGCGGGCAGGCGGUUGCUCAAGUCUGAUGUGAAAUCUCCUCGCUCAACGGGGAGCAGCCAUUGGAAACUGGGCAACUGGAGUCUGGCAGAGGAAUGUGGAAUUCCGGGUGGAGUGGUGAAAUGCGUAGAGAUCCGGAGGAACACCAGUGGCGAAGGCGAUCUGCUAGGCCUGACCUGACACUCAGCCGCGACAGCAUGGGGAGCGAACGGG
This 253-nucleotide ribosomal RNA is filed under the name uncultured bacterium. RNAcentral describes it as "partial 16S ribosomal RNA". It matches the Rfam family "Bacterial small subunit ribosomal RNA", at positions 524 to 776 of the family's 1533-position model. The record is from RNAcentral.